UAGGGAAUCUUCCGCAAUAGGCGAAAGCCUGACGGAGCAACGCCGCGUGAGUGAUGAAGGUCUUCGGAUCGUAAAACUCUGUUAUUAGGGAAGAACAAAUGUGUAAGUAACUAUGCACGUCUUGACGGUACCUAAUCAGAAAGCCACGGCUAACUACGUGCCAGCAGCCGCGGUAAUACGUAGGUGGCAAGCGUUAUCCGGAAUUAUUGGGCGUAAAGCGCGCGUAGGCGGUUUUUUAAGUCUGAUGUGAAAGCCCACGGCUCAACCGUGGAGGGUCAUUGGAAACUGGAAAACUUGAGUGCAGAAGAGGAAAGUGGAAUUCCAUGUGUAGCGGUGAAAUGCGCAGAGAUAUGGAGGAACACCAGUGGCGAAGGCGACUUUCUGGUCUGUAACUGACGCUGAUGUGCGAAAGCGUGGGGAUCAAACAGG
Molecule: ribosomal RNA, 429 nt
Filed under: Actinomycetes bacterium
Lineage: Bacteria; Bacillati; Actinomycetota; Actinomycetes
Also listed under: 1 other name
Description: Actinobacteria bacterium partial 16S ribosomal RNA
Rfam family: Bacterial small subunit ribosomal RNA
Source: RNAcentral